UUGCCAGAGAUGGCUUCGUGCUCGAAAGAGAGCCGUAACACAGGUGCUGCAUGGCUGUCGUCAGCUCGUGUCGUGAGAUGUUGGGUUAAGUCCCGCAACGAGCGCAACCCUUGUCAUUAGUUGCUACGAAAGGGCACUCUAAUGAGACUGCCGGUGACAAACCGGAGGAAGGUGGGGAUGACGUCAAGUCCUCAUGGCCCUUAUAGGUGGGGCUACACACGUCAUACAAUGGCUGGUACAAAGGGUUGCCAACCCGCGAGGGGGAGCCAAUCCCAUAAAGCCAGUCGUAGUCCGGAUCGCAGUCUGCAACUCGACUGCGUGAAGUCGGAAUCGCUAGUAAUCGUGGAUCAGCAUGUCACGGUGAAUACGUUCCCGGGUCUU
RNAcentral lists this ribosomal RNA (381 nucleotides) under uncultured Hydrogenophaga sp. Its description in RNAcentral is "bacterial SSU rRNA". It matches the Rfam family "Bacterial small subunit ribosomal RNA", at positions 997 to 1382 of the family's 1533-position model. The record is from RNAcentral. Lineage: Bacteria; Pseudomonadati; Pseudomonadota; Betaproteobacteria; Burkholderiales; Comamonadaceae.